GCCGGCGUGGCACAACCUGGUACUGCGCAAGCCUGGAAUCAAGGACAAAAAGCUUGUUUCCGAAAGGAUUUCCCGGUUCAAAUCCGGGCGUCGGCG
Molecule: transfer RNA, 96 nt
Filed under: Candidatus Woesearchaeota archaeon
Lineage: Archaea; Nanobdellati; Candidatus Woesearchaeota
Description: tRNA-Ser
Source: RNAcentral